AAGCCACCCAGCCUAUGCGUCCGCUCCUCAAUCCUCUCCUGUUGGCACUGGGCCUCAUGGCACUUUUGUUGACCACGGUCAUUGCUCUCACUUGCCUUGGCGGCUUUGCCUCCCCAGGCCCUGUGCCUCCCUCUACAGCCCUCAGGGAGCUCAUUGAGGAGCUGGUCAACAUCACCCAGAACCAGAAGGUGAGUGUCGGCUAGCCAGGGUCCUAGCUAUGAGGGCUCCAGGGUGGGUGAUUCCCAAGAUGAGGUCAUGAGCAGGCUGGGCCUGGUCCUAAGAUGCCUGUAGGUCAGGAAAAAUCUCCAUGGACCAAGGCCCGGCCCAGCCAUGAGGGAGAGAGGAGCUGGGCUGGGGGGCUCAGCACUGUGGAUGGACCUAUGAAGGUGUCUGGCAGACUCCCCAGGGACUACCUGCUCUCCUGGCCUGGCCUUGUCUGCCACUGCCAGCUCCUACUCAGCCAUUCCUGAACAGAGGACAGCAGAGAAGGGCCAGCACCCUCCCAGAACCAUGUGGCAUUUGCCAACUGGAUUUUGACCAUAACAAUGCAGCCAUUCUCCCCAGCACCGUAAUAGGCCCGCCCUUACAGGAGGAUUCGUUAGUAGAGUCCGCUCCUUGCCCCACUAGUAACAGCUCACAUGUCUGAGCACUGCUUACACCAGGCCUGGUGCACGUGCUUUAUGUGUCAUUUCAUCACUGCCAGCCACCUCAAGAGGCAGGUACGAUGAACCCAUUCUGCUAAGGUUCAGUGAGGUUAAGUGACAGAGGCUGGAUUCAAGCCAGGCCUGGCCAACACCAGAGUGUCCAUGCUCCUAACUGCAGUGUUCCCUCACCAUCAGAAGGCAGGGCAUUUAAUACACCAGAUCCCCACCACCUCCCAUCUGAUUUGUCUUGGUCAACAGUGGCCCAGGCCACUCCUACUUCACUCGUCCCCACCCUGGCCCUUCCCGCAGGCCCCUGUCCUCCUGCCCUGACUAUGGCAAGCCUUGCAUGCAGCUUGUCCCUUACUAGUGGUAUCAAUUUUUUUCUCUCAGCUCCAAGACCCUAAACCGUGGGACCUCACCCCUAUGCCUGCUGUUCAAAGCAGAAAACGAAGCUCAGGAAUGCUGAGGGGCUGCCAGGCCUGCCUCUGUGCCACACCAGGGAUGCUUGUGGGGCCUGUGCUGGUGCAGACCUGGCCUGGGCUGCCAGGGCAGGCCCACAACCCCUGCCAGCACUCUGCUCACUGUCACUUUGCUCCCACAGGCUCCGCUCUGCAAUGGCAGCAUGGUAUGGAGCAUCAACCUGACAGCUGGCGUGUACUGUGCAGCCCUGGAAUCCCUGAUCAACGUGUCAGGCUGCAGUGCCAUCGAGAAGACCCAGAGGAUGCUGAGCGGAUUCUGCCCGCACAAGGUCUCAGCUGGGCAGUUUUCCAGCUUGCAUGUCCGAGACACCAAAAUCGAGGUGGCCCAGUUUGUAAAGGACCUGCUCUUACAUUUAAAGAAACUUUUUCGCGAGGGACGGUUCAACUGAAACUUCGAAAGCAUCAUUAUUUGCAGAGACAGGACCUGACUAUUGAAGUU
Molecule: small RNA, 1562 nt
Filed under: Pan troglodytes (chimpanzee)
Lineage: Eukaryota; Metazoa; Chordata; Mammalia; Primates; Hominidae
Description: retained intron
Source: RNAcentral